AGCGAACGCUGGCGGCAGGCCUAAUACAUGCAAGUCGAGCGCCCCUUCGGGGGAGCGGCGGACGGGUGAGUAACGCGUGGGAACGUGCCCUUUGGUACGGAAUAACUCAGGGAAACUUGAGCUAAUACCGUAUGUGCCCUUCGGGGGAAAGAUUUAUCGCCAUUGGAGCGGCCCGCGUCUGAUUAGCUAGUUGGUGAGGUAAAGGCUCACCAAGGCUACGAUCAGUAGCUGGUCUGAGAGGAUGAUCAGCCACAUUGGGACUGAGACACGGCCCAAACUCCUACGGGAGGCAGCAGUGGGGAAUCUUGGACAAUGGGCGCAAGCCUGAUCCAGCCAUGCCGCGUGAGUGAUGAAGGCCCUAGGGUUGUAAAGCUCUUUUGUGCGGGAAGAUAAUGACGGUACCGCAAGAAUAAGCCCCGGCUAACUUCGUGCCAGCCGCCGCAGUAA
RNAcentral lists this ribosomal RNA (447 nucleotides) under uncultured bacterium. Its description in RNAcentral is "partial 16S ribosomal RNA". It matches the Rfam family "Bacterial small subunit ribosomal RNA", at positions 29 to 523 of the family's 1533-position model. The record is from RNAcentral.